UGGGGAAUUUUGGACAAUGGGGGAAACCCUGAUCCAGCCAUCCCGCGUGUGCGAUGAAGGCCUUCGGGUUGUAAAGCACUUUUGGCAGGAAAGAAACGUCGCGGGUUAAUACCCCGCGAAACUGACGGUACCUGCAGAAUAAGCACCGGCUAACUACGUGCCAGCAGCCGCGGUAAUACGUAGGGUGCAAGCGUUAAUCGGAAUUACUGGGCGUAAAGCGUGCGCAGGCGGUUCGGAAAGAAAGAUGUGAAAUCCCAGAGCUUAACUUUGGAACUGCAUUUUUAACUACCGGGCUAGAGUGUGUCAGAGGGAGGUGGAAUUCCGCGUGUAGCAGUGAAAUGCGUAGAUAUGCGGAGGAACACCGAUGGCGAAGGCAGCCUCCUGGGAUAACACUGACGCUCAUGCACGAAAGCGUGGGGAGCAAACAGGAUUAGAUACCCUGGUAGUCCACGCCCUAAACGAUGUCAACUAGCUGUUGGAGCCUUCGGGCCUUGGUAGCGCAGCUAACGCGUGAAGUUGACCGCCUGGGGAGUACGGUCGCAAGAUUAAAACUUAAAGGAAUUGACGGGGGUGCAUGCUG
This 580-nucleotide ribosomal RNA is filed under the name uncultured bacterium. RNAcentral's name for it is "partial 16S ribosomal RNA". It matches the Rfam family "Bacterial small subunit ribosomal RNA", at positions 355 to 928 of the family's 1533-position model. The record is from RNAcentral.